Molecule: long non-coding RNA, 423 nt
Organism: Anguilla rostrata (American eel)
Lineage: Eukaryota; Metazoa; Chordata; Actinopteri; Anguilliformes; Anguillidae
Exons: 2
Source: RefSeq, a predicted model, not a curated record
GUGAGAGUGUGUGUGCGUGUGUCUCUACUUUAGUGAGCAAAGGGAUACUGAGGAGUCACACACUCUAAAUCCAGCACAGACAGGUGUGUGUUGAGUGGUGUGUGUGUGUGUGUGUGUGUGUGUAGGUGUAGGUGUGGGUGUGGGUGUGUGUGUUUCUAUGUGUAUCUGAGUGUGUGCGUUGUGGUGUGUGUGUAUGUGUAUAUGAGUGUGUGUGGUGUGUGUGUGUAUAUGUGUACAUGAGUGUGGUGUGUGUGUGUGUGUGUGUGUGUAUGUGUGUAUAUGAGUAUGUGUGGUGUGUGUGUGUAUGUGCACAUGAGUGUGGUAUGUGUGUGUGUGUAUGUGUAUGUGAGUGUGUGCGCGCACAUGAGUGUGUGUGUGUCUCUACUCCAGUUAGCAGAGGGACACUGAGGAGGAGUUCCACAC